This 253-nucleotide ribosomal RNA is filed under the name uncultured bacterium. Its description in RNAcentral is "partial 16S ribosomal RNA". It matches the Rfam family "Bacterial small subunit ribosomal RNA", at positions 524 to 776 of the family's 1533-position model. The record is from RNAcentral.
AACGUAGGUGGCGAGCGUUAUCCGGAUUCAUUGGGCGUAAAGAGCUUGUAGGCGGCGUCAUAAGUUGGACGUGAAAACUCCGGGCUUAACUUGGAGAGGCCGUUCAAUACUGUGAGGCUAGAGGGUGUCAGAGGGAAGUAGAAUUCCUGGUGUAGCAGUGAAAUGCGCAGAUAUCAGGAGGAACACCGGUGGCGAAGGCGGGUCUCUGGGCAGUAACUGACGCUGAGGAGCGAAAGCGUGGGGAGCGAACAGG